RNAcentral lists this long non-coding RNA (817 nucleotides) under Bos indicus x Bos taurus (hybrid cattle). RNAcentral's name for it is "lncRNA (ENSBIXG00005028746.1)". The record is from RNAcentral. Lineage: Eukaryota; Metazoa; Chordata; Mammalia; Artiodactyla; Bovidae.
GAAGAGACUUUCAGCUCCCCGUGUUCAGGUUGUCAUCCCCAGUGUGACGGGUCCAGCCAGGGGAGUGGAUGAAAGCUGAAAUCACAUCACCAGGAACAGAUCCUUCAGGAGGGCCUCCAGCCUGGGACACAACGAGGUGUUUCCUCCUGUAAGAGAUGCACGGGAUUGAAGACAGAUCAUCUUGCUGUAUAUUCUCUUGUUCUCAUUUAGUAGGAAUCCAGAUUCAUGGUGCACGGUCUUAGAAGGACACUUAGAAGCUUCUGAGAGAUGUGGCCUUGCUCUUGAUGAUAAUGCUCCAGAGCCACAGAAAUGUGAGGACUUCCCUGGAGAUCAUGGUGACGGCGGGUCCUGAUGGUGAGCAACAGUCUCUCCUGUCUUUGGAUCUCAGUGAAUGUACUCCCAGGGUACGGUUUCCCACAGUCAGUAUUUAAACACCAUCAGGGUCUUUAAACAGGGUGCAUCGUGUAAGCUCAAGCACAGCGGUAUGAAGGCAGCAUUACUAAGAGAGACAAACGUUGCCUUUCAGUCUUCACCGUAUUUCUACUUGUGAUGGACCCACAGCCUGAUCAUACUGAAGAUUCUCCAUCAGAGGAAGUUUAGCUUCCUGGAAACCAAGAGAGGCAGGGCCUUGGGGUCUUCUCUCUUUCUGGAACCCCCAUUAUGUGCACAGACCAUAGGGCGAACUGAGCAGCUCCAUCUGAGCAGGUUCCCUGUCAGCAGUCGAUAGACAAACUUUUGUAUGUGCGGCACUAAACACUGCUGCUUCUCUGACUACUCAGUGAGAGAAAUAAACACGUGGAAGCGAGCCUGGAGAACA